GAUGAACGCUGGCGGCGUGCCUAAUACAUGCAAGUCGAGCGAACGGACGAGAAGCUUGCUUCUCUGAUGUUAGCGGCGGACGGGUGAGUAACACGUGGAUAACCUACCUAUAAGACUGGGAUAACUUCGGGAAACCGGAGCUAAUACCGGAUGAUAUUUUGAACCGCAUGGUUCAAUAGUGAAAGACGGUCUUGCUGUCACUUAUAGAUGGAUCCGCGCUGCAUUAGCUAGUUGGUAAGGUAACGGCUUACCAAGGCAACGAUGCAUAGCCGACCUGAGAGGGUGAUCCGGCCACCCGGAAAUGAAAAAAGGGCCAGACUCCCAAGGGAGGGAGGCGUAGGGAAUCCUUCGGCAAGGGGGGAAGGCUGAAGGAGGAAAGGCGGGUGGGUGAAGAAGGGCUUCGGAUCGGAAAACCCUGUUAAUAGGGAAGAAAAUAUGUGUAAGUAAAUGAGCCACUCUUGAAGGUAACUAAUCAGAAAGGCAACGGUAAAUACGUG
RNAcentral lists this ribosomal RNA (497 nucleotides) under uncultured bacterium. RNAcentral's name for it is "partial 16S ribosomal RNA". It matches the Rfam family "Bacterial small subunit ribosomal RNA", at positions 28 to 507 of the family's 1533-position model. The record is from RNAcentral.